Molecule: ribosomal RNA, 468 nt
Filed under: uncultured bacterium
Lineage: Bacteria
Description: partial 16S ribosomal RNA
Rfam family: Bacterial small subunit ribosomal RNA
Source: RNAcentral
GACGAACGCUGGCGGCGUGCUUAACACAUGCAAGUCGAACGGAAAGGCCCUGCUUUUGUGGGGUGCUCGAGUGGCGAACGGGUGAGUAACACGUGAGUAACCUGCCCUUGUAUUUGGGAUAACUUCAGGAAACUGGGGCUAAUACCGGAUAGGAGCUCCUGCUGCAUGGUGGGGGUUGGAAAGUUUCGGCGGUUGGGGAUGGACUCGCGGCUUAUCAGCUUGUUGGUGGGGUAGUGGCUUACCAAGGCUUCGACGGGUAGCCGGCCUGAGAGGGUGACCAGCCACAUUGGGACUGAGAUACGGCCCAGACUCCUACGGGAGGCAGCAGUGGGGAAUAUUGCACAAUGGGCGGAAGCCUGAUGCAGCAACGCCGCGUUCGGGAUGACGGCCUUCGGGUUGUAAACCGCUUUCGCCGGUGACGAAGCGUGAGUGACGGUAAUGGGUAAAGAAGCACCGGCUAACUACGUG